UGGGGAAUAUUGCGCAAUGGGGGAAACCCUGACGCAGCGACGCCGCGUGCGGGAUGAAGGCCUUCGGGUUGUAAACCGCUUUUGAUUGGGAGCAAGCUUUCGGGUGAGUGUACCUUUCGAAUAAGCGCCGGCUAACUACGUGCCAGCAGCCGCGGUAAUACGUAGGGCGCAAGCGUUAUCCGGAAUUAUUGGGCGUAAAGAGCUUGUAGGCGGUUCGUCGCGUCUGGUGUGAAAGCCCAUCGCUUAACGGUGGGUCUGCGCCGGGUACGGGCGGGCUAGAGUGCAGUAGGGGAGACUGGAAUUCCCGGUGUAACGGUGGAAUGUGUAGAUAUCGGGAAGAACACCAAUGGCGAAGGCAGGUCUCUGGGCUGUUACUGACGCUGAGAAGCGAAAGCGUGGGGAGCGAACAGGAUUAGAUACCCUGGUAGUCCACGCCGUAAACGGUGGACGCUGGAUGUGGGGCCCAUUCCACGGGUUCCGUGUCGGAGCUAACGCGUUAAGCGUCCCGCCUGGGGAGUACGGCCGCAAGGCUAAAACUCAAAGAAAUUGACGGGGGCCCGCACAAGCGGCGGAGCAUGCGGAUUAAUUCGAUGCAACGCGAAGAACCUUACCUGGGCUUGACAUGUGCCUGUCGACUGCAGAGAUGUGGUUUCCCUUCGGGGCAGGUUCACAGGUGGUGCAUGGUCGUCGUCAGCUCGUGUCGUGAGAUGUUGGGUUAAGUCCCGCAACGAGCGCAACCCUCGCCCUGUGUUGCCAGCGGGUUAUGCCGGGAACUCACGGGGGACCGCCGGGGUUAACUCGGAGGAAGGUGGGGAUGACGUCAGAUCAUCAUGCCCCUUACGUCCAGGGCUUCACGCAUGCUACAAUGGCCGGUACAACGGGAUGCGACAUGGUGACAUG
Molecule: ribosomal RNA, 900 nt
Filed under: uncultured bacterium
Lineage: Bacteria
Description: bacterial SSU rRNA
Rfam family: Bacterial small subunit ribosomal RNA
Source: RNAcentral